GUGAGCUCGCCAGCCUGUGGAGAACGCUUCCUCGGCUCUCCUGGUGAUAGGGAGAACUUGUCAGUCUGCACUUGUGUGCGGUGGAGGGGGAGCUGCCCGGACCUGAGCAGGAAACAAAUACAUGGAUCGUCAGUCAGCUUCCUGAUUCGGUGCCUGAAGCAUCCACAUCCCAACAGGAGUUGCUGUGCUGUUGAAAUGUGGAACCCACAAAUCAGGUUCUUGCCUCGGCUGCUGAAAGCUUCAUGGGCCGGAGUCCCCAUAGCCCUAAAAGCCUCAUCCAAAGCAAAGGCCUGGAAGUGGAACCCAGAGAGAGCAAUGCUUGGAGAACUGAACAUCCUUCAGCCUGUCUUGGAAGGAGAGCUGCACAAGAUAAGACUAGAGAGGUGGCCUGGGGUGAAGUCAUGAGGCCUCAUAAAGCCAUGUUAAGAAAUUUGAGCUUUACUCGUGGGCAAAAAGGAGGCUUUGGUGGAUUUUAAACAGCAGUAGCAAAGCUGUGAAAGGAUGACUGGGAUAAUAGUUUGGAGAAGAGGGGGCUGGUGGGCAAGAGUAUAGGUAAGAAGACAACUUGGGAGGCUCUUGUAGUCAAGUGAGAGUUAAUGUUAGCCUGACCUAGCCAUUGGUGGGGGUGGAGAGAAAAAGAGACUUGACAGUUGUCUCCAAGGUAAAUGUGGCAGGAUUUGGUGAUGACUAUUUGUGGGAGGCAGGGCCAGGGAGCUAUCAGGAGUGAUGCCAGAGCAGUGGUAGAAAGGAGGUUCCACUCACUAAGACAGACAAUAUGAGAGAAGGAGCAUGUCUGGGAGGGAGGACAACUAAUCCAUUGUUGCUGAGUUUGGGGCUCUGGUAUGUAUACACUGAGAUAUCCACAAGGCCGAAGCUCAGGGAAGAGACUGGAUUGACAGUUGUAAGUCUGGAAGUUGUCAGUAAAUGCAUGGUUAUCAAAGCUGUGGGAAUAGAUGAGUUGGCACAGGGAGAGCGAGUUUAAUGACUUCAGGACAAGCAGCCCAAGGAGCAUCAGCAGAGAUGGUCUGAAGCAGAGAAACAUAUAUAGUUCAGUGAAAAAGAAAGGGCCAGAGAGCAGAAAGCAAAUGAGGAAAGGGCUGUGGAACAAACUGGCCCACUUCUCCCCAUUCCCACCCAUACCCAGCAGUCUAUGCUGUCAUCUUCUCUUGCGUGGACCACUGCUCCAGCCUCCUAAUGGCUCCACAUGUCUGUUUUGCCACCUUCCAUUCACUCUCACUUAGUUGCCAUAGCAAUGUUUCAGAAAUGCAAAACCAGUCACAUCACUGUCCUGCUUACAACUUUGCAAUGGCUUCCUAUUACACUUAGGAUAAAGAGCCAAAGUCUUUAACAAGGCACUCAAUACAUGUCUGAAUGAACGAAGCCAAAGGAAGUGAGUGGUUCAAGGAAUGGUGUCAAAUGCUGAUAAGCAGUUCAAGGAAAAUAAAUGCACUGGGUACGUGUGGGAAAGUUAUGACCCUGGAGCCAUUUCACAGGGAGGUAGGGGGAAGGAGUCGAUGGCACGGAGUGAAGGGUGAGUAGAGGUGAUUAUUUGUAAGAGUAGAUUCUCCUUGAGAAUAGAAGCUCUUAAACAUCAAAAAGCAUGAAGUAUAUCUUAUUUCAUCUCUGUUCCUCAAAAGAGGCUAAAUAUAAACCUGGAAAAUAGGUUCUCAAUAAAUGCUCGCUAAGAAAAA
Molecule: long non-coding RNA, 1691 nt
Organism: Neogale vison (American mink)
Lineage: Eukaryota; Metazoa; Chordata; Mammalia; Carnivora; Mustelidae
Exons: 3
Source: RefSeq, a predicted model, not a curated record